RNAcentral lists this ribosomal RNA (463 nucleotides) under uncultured bacterium. RNAcentral describes it as "partial 16S ribosomal RNA". It matches the Rfam family "Bacterial small subunit ribosomal RNA", at positions 28 to 507 of the family's 1533-position model. The record is from RNAcentral.
GAUGAACGCUGACGGAAUGCUUAAUACAUGCAAGUCGAAGGGGAAGUGGUGCUUGCACCAUGGUAACCAUGGGGGACGGGUGAGUAACGCGUAAGGAAAUUGCCUGCUGGCCUGGGAUAACAGCAGGAAACUGCUGAUAAUACGAGAGAUAGUCAUGAAGCAUCUUAGCUUAGUGAUGAUAGGAGACGCCUGCGGACAGCCUUGCCUCCAGUUAGUUAGUUGGAGGGGUAACAGCCCACCAAGGAGAUGAUAGGUAGCCGGCCUGACAGAGUGGACGGCCACAAGGGGACUGGGAUACGCCCCUGACUCCUACGGGAGACAGCAGUGGGGAAUAUUGGACAAUGCGGGCAACGCUAAUCAAGUAAUUCGGUGGGAACGAAGACGGUUUUGGGAUUGAAAAGUGCUUUCGGGAGGAGAGAAGGAAGUGACGGUACCUUCAGAGGAAGCGACGGCUAACUACGUG